AAGACUAUAGACCUGCGGAGUACCUGCGGAAGGAUCAUUACAGCGCCGCGGGGUCCGCCCCGCACACGGCCACCCGUGUCUACCGUACCCUCUGUUGCCUCGGCGGGCCCGUCGCGCCUUCCCCCUCGCGGGGGUAGGUAGCCCGACCGCCGGGUGGCUCCUGCCACCCCGCCCGCGCCCGCCGGAGGACCACCGCAACCCUCCGUGAAUUCAGUGACGUCUGACCGAGAUGUGAUCUUG
This 240-nucleotide unclassified non-coding RNA is filed under the name soil metagenome. Its description in RNAcentral is "partial contains 5.8S ribosomal RNA, internal transcribed spacer 2, and large subunit ribosomal RNA". The record is from RNAcentral.